GGUGUUGCUUGCUUUCUUGAUCAAUCCUUUUGAUUGCUUCAACUAAGCAUCUCAAAUGUUCUUUAGAUCACCACUUCCAUGUUAGCCUUCCAAGCACCACACUUGGUUUACCCACUCCUCUGGCGGCACGCCCCUCACAUAGGCAGAAGUGACCUCUCUCAAAAGAACCAUUCUUGACACUUACUUGAAUUGCAUUUAUUGAUUGAUUCAAGUGAUGGACUUAAUAUGAUGAGUAACCAUG
Molecule: long non-coding RNA, 241 nt
Filed under: Sorghum bicolor (sorghum)
Lineage: Eukaryota; Viridiplantae; Streptophyta; Magnoliopsida; Poales; Poaceae
Description: long non-coding RNA (SBIC_LNC014195)
Source: RNAcentral